CCUGGAGAGCCACCACCACCUCCUGCUUCCGAGCAUCAUUUGCAGCUCAGGAGAGCUCGUUGAGAAGCUGGGCGUGUUAAUAAGGCAGAGCACGCAGGCGUUUGCAAUUCACCAGAUCAUUCACAAGUUACCUCCAACCCAACCUUGUCAUUGCAAUUCGUCACACUUACAGUGGAUGCUUUUAUGUGCUGCAUCUCGCCCGAGUCUCAUCACGCCAGGCCAGUGCCACAGGCUACGAGACAACAACAAAGAUCUCAAGCGUGGUUUAAAAGGUAGCACUAUAAAAGAGGGGGAAUAAUGGCUGCAAUCACUGCUAGAUGUCCUGUUCCCACAGAUCCUGCAGCCUUCCCUUGAUUUCAGACCAAAGCUGAGUAGUAGGAACGACUGCCUUCCCCACUGCCACCUUAAACCUGAUUUAUCCGGCACCCUCAGCGUGGAGAAGCCCUGGCAUGGUAUUU
Cyanistes caeruleus (blue tit) is the source of this 458-nucleotide long non-coding RNA. RefSeq lists it as uncharacterized. The record is from RefSeq and is a predicted model, not a curated record. Lineage: Eukaryota; Metazoa; Chordata; Aves; Passeriformes; Paridae.